This 2902-nucleotide ribosomal RNA is filed under the name Escherichia coli. RNAcentral's name for it is "bacterial LSU rRNA". The record is from RNAcentral. Lineage: Bacteria; Pseudomonadati; Pseudomonadota; Gammaproteobacteria; Enterobacterales; Enterobacteriaceae.
UUAAGCGACUAAGCGUACACGGUGGAUGCCCUGGCAGUCAGAGGCGAUGAAGGACGUGCUAAUCUGCGAUAAGCGUCGGUAAGGUGAUAUGAACCGUUAUAACCGGCGAUUUCCGAAUGGGGAAACCCAGUGUGWUUCGWCACACUAUCAUUAACUGAAUCCAUAGGUUAAUGAGGCGAACCGGGGGAACUGAAACAUCUAAGUACCCCGAGGAAAAGAAAUCAACCGAGAUUCCCCCAGUAGCGGCGAGCGAACGGGGAGSAGCCCAGAGCCUGAAUCAGUGUGUGUGUUAGUGGAAGCGUCUGGAAAGGCGCGCGAUACAGGGUGACAGCCCCGUACACAAAAAUGCACAURCUGUGAGCUCGAUGAGUAGGGCGGGACACGUGGUAUCCUGUCUGAAUAUGGGGGGACCAUCCUCCAAGGCUAAAUACUCCUGACUGACCGAUAGUGAACCAGUACCGUGAGGGAAAGGCGAAAAGAACCCCGGCGAGGGGAGUGAAAAAGAACCUGAAACCGUGUACGUACAAGCAGUGGGAGCCUCUUUUAUGGGGUGACUGCGUACCUUUUGUAUAAUGGGUCAGCGACUUAUAUUCUGUAGCAAGGUUAACCGAAUAGGGGAGCCGAAGGGAAACCGAGUCUUAACUGGGCGUUAAGUUGCAGGGUAUAGACCCGAAACCCGGUGAUCUAGCCAUGGGCAGGUUGAAGGUUGGGUAACACUAACUGGAGGACCGAACCGACUAAUGUUGAAAAAUUAGCGGAUGACUUGUGGCUGGGGGUGAAAGGCCAAUCAAACCGGGAGAUAGCUGGUUCUCCCCGAAAGCUAUUUAGGUAGCGCCUCGUGAAUUCAUCUCCGGGGGUAGAGCACUGUUUCGGCAAGGGGGUCAUCCCGACUUACCAACCCGAUGCAAACUGCGAAUACCGGAGAAUGUUAUCACGGGAGACACACGGCGGGUGCUAACGUCCGUCGUGAAGAGGGAAACAACCCAGACCGCCAGCUAAGGUCCCAAAGUCAUGGUUAAGUGGGAAACGAUGUGGGAAGGCCCAGACAGCCAGGAUGUUGGCUUAGAAGCAGCCAUCAUUUAAAGAAAGCGUAAUAGCUCACUGGUCGAGUCGGCCUGCGCGGAAGAUGUAACGGGGCUAAACCAUGCACCGAAGCUGCGGCAGCGACRCUUAUGYGUUGUUGGGUAGGGGAGCGUUCUGUAAGCCUGUGAAGGUGUGCUGUGAGGYAUGCUGGAGGUAUCAGAAGUGCGAAUGCUGACAUAAGUAACGAUAAAGCGGGUGAAAAGCCCGCUCGCCGGAAGACCAAGGGUUCCUGUCCAACGUUAAUCGGGGCAGGGUGAGUCGACCCCUAAGGCGAGGCCGAAAGGCGUAGUCGAUGGGAAACAGGUUAAUAUUCCUGUACUUGGUGUUACUGCGAAGGGGGGACGGAGAAGGCUAUGUUGGCCGGGCGACGGUUGUCCCGGUUUAAGCGUGUAGGCUGGUUUUCCAGGCAAAUCCGGAAAAUCAAGGCUGAGGCGUGAUGACGAGGCACUACGGUGCUGAAGCAACAAAUGCCCUGCUUCCAGGAAAAGCCUCUAAGCAUCAGGUAACAUCAAAUCGUACCCCAAACCGACACAGGUGGUCAGGUAGAGAAUACCAAGGCGCUUGAGAGAACUCGGGUGAAGGAACUAGGCAAAAUGGUGCCGUAACUUCGGGAGAAGGCACGCUGAUAUGUAGGUGAAGUCCCUCGCGGAUGGAGCUGAAAUCAGUCGAAGAUACCAGCUGGCUGCAACUGUUUAUUAAAAACACAGCACUGUGCAAACACGAAAGUGGACGUAUACGGUGUGACGCCUGCCCGGUGCCGGAAGGUUAAUUGAUGGGGUCAGCGCAAGCGAAGCUCUUGAUCGAAGCCCCGGUAAACGGCGGCCGUAACUAUAACGGUCCUAAGGUAGCGAAAUUCCUUGUCGGGUAAGUUCCGACCUGCACGAAUGGCGUAAUGAUGGCCAGGCUGUCUCCACCCGAGACUCAGUGAAAUUGAACUCGCUGUGAAGAUGCAGUGUACCCGCGGCAAGACGGAAAGACCCCGUGAACCUUUACUAUAGCUUGACACUGAACAUUGAGCCUUGAUGUGUAGGAUAGGUGGGAGGCUUWGAAGUGUGGACGCCAGUCUGCAUGGAGCCGACCUUGAAAUACCACCCUUUAAUGUUUGAUGUUCUAACGUKGACCCGURAUCCGGGUUGCGGACAGUGUCUGGUGGGUAGUUUGACUGGGGCGGUCUCCUCCUAAAGAGUAACGGAGGAGCACGAAGGUUGGCUAAUCCUGGUCGGACAUCAGGAGGUUAGUGCAAUGGCAUAAGCCAGCUUGACUGCGAGCGUGACGGCGCGAGCAGGUGCGAAAGCAGGUCAUAGUGAUCCGGUGGUUCUGAAUGGAAGGGCCAUCGCUCAACGGAUAAAAGGUACUCCGGGGAUAACAGGCUGAUACCGCCCAAGAGUUCAUAUCGACGGCGGUGUUUGGCACCUCGAUGUCGGCUCAUCACAUCCUGGGGCUGAAGUAGGUCCCAAGGGUAUGGCUGUUCGCCAUUUAAAGUGGUACGCGAGCUGGGUUUAGAACGUCGUGAGACAGUUCGGUCCCUAUCUGCCGUGGGCGCUGGAGAACUGAGGGGGGCUGCUCCUAGUACGAGAGGACCGGAGUGGACGCAUCACUGGUGUUCGGGUUGUCAUGCCAAUGGCACUGCCCGGUAGCUAAAUGCGGAAGAGAUAAGUGCUGAAAGCAUCUAAGCACGAAACUUGCYCCGAGAUGAGUUCUCCCUGACCCUUUAAGGGUCCUGAAGGAACGUUGAAGACGACGACGUUGAUAGGCCGGGUGUGUAAGCGCAGCGAUGCGUUGAGCUAACCGGUACUAAUGAACCGUGAGGCUUAACCUU